UGGAGGGAUCUGUAAAGCUCAGGAGGGAUAGCACCAUGAAAAAUGAUGUGAUAUAUGUUGGUUUUAAAUUUUUGAAUCUUUUUUUUUUCCAACAAAACUUUCAAUUAUUUUGGCGCUAUCCAUCCUGAGUUCUAUGGCUUCUUCUU
RNAcentral lists this microRNA precursor (146 nucleotides) under Nicotiana sylvestris (wood tobacco). Its description in RNAcentral is "MIR390 microRNA precursor family". It matches the Rfam family "MIR390 microRNA precursor family". Lineage: Eukaryota; Viridiplantae; Streptophyta; Magnoliopsida; Solanales; Solanaceae. The record is from Rfam by way of RNAcentral.